This 464-nucleotide ribosomal RNA is filed under the name uncultured Klebsiella sp. RNAcentral describes it as "bacterial SSU rRNA". It matches the Rfam family "Bacterial small subunit ribosomal RNA", at positions 338 to 795 of the family's 1533-position model. Lineage: Bacteria; Pseudomonadati; Pseudomonadota; Gammaproteobacteria; Enterobacterales; Enterobacteriaceae. The record is from RNAcentral.
CCUACGGGAGGCUGCAGUGGGGAAUAUUGCACAAUGGGCGCAAGCCUGAUGCAGCCAUGCCGCGUGUGUGAAGAAGGCCUUCGGGUUGUAAAGCACUUUCAGCGGGGAGGAAGGCGGUGAGGUUAAUAACCUCAUCGAUUGACGUUACCCGCAGAAGACGCACCGGCUAACUCCGUGCCAGCAGCCGCGGUAAUACGGAGGGUGCAAGCGUUAAUCGGAAUUACUGGGCGUAAAGCGCACGCAGGCGGCCUGUCAAGUCGGAUGUGAAAUCCCCGGGCUCAACCUGGGAACUGCAUUCGAAACUGGCAGGCUAGAGUCGUGUAGAGGGGGGUAGAAUUCCAGGUGUAGCGGUGAAAUGCGUAGAGAUCUGGAGGAAUACCGGUGGCGAAGGCGGCCCCCUGGACAAAGACUGACGCUCAGGUGCGAAAGCGUGGGGAGCAAACAGGAUGAAUACCCUUGUAGUC